GUCCCUGUAGCGCAAUGGAAAGCGCGUUGAACAUUUAAUCCAAAGGUCGUGGGUUCGAAUUCCACCUGGGAGG
This is a non-coding RNA of Trichonephila clavipes, 73 nucleotides long. The record is from the annotation of a GenBank genome assembly. Lineage: Eukaryota; Metazoa; Arthropoda; Arachnida; Araneae; Nephilidae.